Molecule: long non-coding RNA, 640 nt
Organism: Plodia interpunctella (Indianmeal moth)
Lineage: Eukaryota; Metazoa; Arthropoda; Insecta; Lepidoptera; Pyralidae
Exons: 2
Source: RefSeq, a predicted model, not a curated record
UAUAUAUUUGUUUAAAAAUAGCUCGUCACGAAAAAUAAAUUAAAAUAAUGAACUCAAUCAAUAUCUUGUUGUUAAAUUGAAAUACAUACAUAAAAACAAACUAUUUUCUUAAUAUACAGUAUCGAUGGUACUGGCAUCUAAAUUUCUUUUCUGACAAAGAAUUUCACACAUUCUGGAACCCUUUUUCGAUAUUCAAAUCGUUUCGAAGUUGAUGUGUAGAAGUAAUUUGCAUUGUAGGUCAGUAUAAUCAAAUCCUCCGAGUGAGUCCUAAAACGGGUCCACAAAAAAACUCAAAUCACUAAAAUUUCUAAAAAAUUUUUAAAAAAUUAAAAAAUACUUCCACUUCCACAUUUUACAAUUUCUAGUUUUAGUACUUAGUACUUCCCAAGCCUAUUUCAAAAUGUGUUGCGGAGGAUGCGGACCUUGCUGCGGAGGAUGCGGACCCUGUUGUUGUUGCCCAAGCAUCACAAUCUACACCUGCUGCACCAAGAUUUGCUAGUUUGCGCUCCUCUUGCUCUGCGCAUACGAGCCAGUGAUGGCUUGUCACGUCUGGUCAGAGGUGCCACGAAGCCUCUGCUCUUCGAUGGUCGUCGUUAAACUAGUGCCGUGUUUGUGAAAAUAAACAGCUAAUUUAAGCGUA